Molecule: ribosomal RNA, 117 nt
Organism: Ochotona princeps (American pika)
Lineage: Eukaryota; Metazoa; Chordata; Mammalia; Lagomorpha; Ochotonidae
Source: Ensembl
GUCUAUGGCCAUACCACCCUGAACGUGCCUGAUCUCGUCUGAUCUCAGAAGCUAAGCAGGGCUGGGCCUGGUUAGUAUUUGGAUGGGAGGAAAAGCCCACCCAGGAAAUCAAAGAGA